CCUAAUAGACCAGACAGGGCCCGGACUGGUCGAGUCCCACGCUCCCUUUCAUGCGAGCUCUUCUUCCUCGUGGUCUUCCAUCCUGCCGCCAGCCGCCGCCUACUGCUUCUCCCGCUGGCCGCUGCCGGAUUUCCUCUCGCCCCACUACUACCUUCUUUUCCCCCAUCAUCGGCCGUCUCCAGGUCUCCUUCACCACCGGCACCUCCUUCUCCCCAUGGCCCACUGCCCCGCCAACUCCUCCGCCGCCGGUCCACCUUCUACGCGUGCUGCGCCGCAGGCUUCACCGAUUCUCCACUCCCUCGUGAGAUUGAUGCCUCUGCCCUCUGCCUUCUCACCCCUCCUCCACCCUAAAUCUAUGCCUACUGCAGCAAGGCAGAGAGGUCCAUCCCCCAAACCAGCAAAAUGUGGGGGCUGAUGAGAUUUGCUACUGGUACGUAGAUCGGGACGGCUGAUCAAUGGUCGAGAUUCAUAAUUGGUGCCAUGCCAACAGAGAUAUUUGCAGCAUGAGGAUGGAUAUUGAUCAGUCCUACCAUACCCCUGCAAAUGAGGCUUUGCAUGCUGGGGGUUCUUGUUGGACAUCCACCAAGAGAACCGACAAUUUGGAAAAAGUAAGGAGCUCUGUUCGGUCUCAGGAUGGUUUGCGUGCAUGAGGUCUUGGAACAGUGGCAUCAGACAAUGGUUAAUAGCAGUAAGAUUUUUGAACCAUUGCCGAAGCUGAGGGUGUUGUCUUAUUGUGUAAUGGAUAACCCUCAUUUAGAUCUGGAGUGAGGUGAUAGGAAUAGUAAGCAACAGUAGGAAACCAACGCAAUCUCUUACUAUAUAGUUGUGUGAAGAUGCUCAUCUAUCCUUCAGCAACUGCAAAUUUCUUAAUCCGAUACAAGAACCAGGUCAUAAGCAUUAGUGACACCAUUUAAUUAAGCAAAUGAUCAUGUUUGUACCUUUCAGCUGAGCCAAAGAUUCUAAUAUAUUUCUGUUUAGAAUAGGAAAUGAUUUUUACGCGAGAAACUGCUUUUUGUAGAAAAAAACUUCUGUUAGCAACUAAAUCAAUUUUUUUUUUGCUCGAACAUAAUAAAUCGUAUUAAGAUUGCAUUGUAGACCAUAUGCUCCAUUGCCUGUUGUUAGUGCUUUCAGAAGUACCCCCAGUCUCAUGCUUUUAUGUAGUACAUUGGCUCUACAAUCUACACUGGCUCACUAGCGAGCUGGAAAUGUUUUGUGUAAAUAUAAUGUAGCCUUUGGCUAUUUCUCAAGCAUCAGAAGUGCCAUAGGAUAGAUGGACUGAUAGCCGAAGUUUACUGACGAUGUAGUCCUGGAUCAUGGUGAACUUGUGCUGCCAUUUUGGCUGGAUGUUAUGUGUGCGCACCUGCAUAUCCAAAACAUUAACGUGUGCAUCAAAGGCGCUCGGUCGCGCGUGCCAUGUCAUCAGGUCGAUCGGGUGUGAGGGUUAGCGAGGAGAAAAAACAGAUCGAAAAAAAGAAGAUGGUCGAUUGGGCAGCGGCCAGAUAACGCCUCCACUGCUUUCUCUUCCCCACAAAGCAAACCCUCACCUCCCAGGUUCACACGCAACCUCCGCUCGUCUCCUUGUUUCUCUCCUCCGCCUCUUCCUCCGGGUGUACUUGCGGCUGCAGCGGGAUGGGAGUAAAGGGGGCGAGCAGGAUGGGUGGCCAGCUGAUUUCUUCGAAGGAUCUGGAGCCCAGGGGCGACGCCGCGGAGGACCGGGAGUGGGGGCGAUGGCCAGGCCUGGUGGUGACGGGACGAUUUAGUGGUCGGAGGCGCUACAUCGGAUGCCAGUCAGUCUGCAACGACUCCAGCGCCAGUGUGCCCCUUGGCACCUCCCGCGCCAAGGUCUAUUUCCUUCCUUCCCCUUGCUCCCCUCGCUCCCACCCUCCCUCCCUCCAUUGUUCUGUGUUGGAUUCAUUCAUCAUGGUUGCUGCUCGCUCCUGUUCAUAUUGAUUGGAUCGGGUCGAUGGCUGCCGCAAAUCAUUGGCGUUAGCGUUGACAUCAAUUGGAUCGGUUCUUGCAUGCAAUGCAGGAUCAGAUUUUGCCUUCCGGCUUGUGAAGCAUCUAUCUCUAGGAUCUGUGCCAUGUUACAAAACCUGAACUUGAGUUGUUUUUCAGUUAACUGAAACACACCAGAGAGGUUUCAGACUUUCAGUUGACUCAAGUAAAGUUAAAUUGAUUGACUAUUUGUACAGGUACUCGUUGUGAUUAGGGUAAAUCGUAACAACAGUUUAGCUUUCCAAUUUUCAUCCUUAUAGCUGCAUGAAUUAGCGAAGUAACUGAUUGUUCCUAUUAACCUGAACUGAAGGUUCUUUAUGUGGCACACGCCUGAACUCACUCAAGUUGAUUCGCUGAAAGAAACCUAACUUGUCGGAACAGAUACUGAUUUAGGAAUUCUAGCAUUAGUUUACCUCUAUCCCCUUACCACCGUGGUCGAGUUACAUUGCGGAUUUGAGCUUCAACUGUUCCGAGCUUAUUGAACUCUCAUGCGAUUGAUGCUUGUACGUUCACUGCAUUUCCCCCUUCCUCUCCAUCCGCUCUUGCCUGCCCGUCGUCUCCUUCAUGUCCCAGCCUCUACAUUUUCCCCUUCCUCUCCAUCUGCUCUUGCCUGCCUGUUGUCUCCUUCAUGUCCCAGCCUCUACAUUUUCCCCCUCCUCUCCAUCCGCUCUUGCCUGCCUGUCAUCUCCUUCAUGUCCCAGCCUCUACAUUUUCCCCUUCCUCUCCAUCUGCUCUUGCUUGCCUGUCGUCUCCUUCAUGUCCCAGCCUCUACCAUGUCAUCCUUGCCGACGAGCUCGGCCUCUGUGGCAGCAGCCCCAUGGCCGCCGGUAUGUGGAAUGAGAAUGUCCAGUUGUUCUUCAACACUAACAGAGGUCCCCUGUUCUUUUCCUAUAGAUGAAUGUUUCAUUCAUUGAUAAUUUGCAGUGCAUGUCUAUCAUAAUUCUGUAAUUUAUUUGUUCUUUGGACUAAUGCAUUGGUAUAAAAAUUAACUAUUGAAGUCACAUCUUGGAGACUACUCUGUUCUAGAAUGCAUGAUGGAAGGUACAUGAGAUCGUUAGUUUAUUAUCUGGUCUUUCACACCCAUUGACAGUGAUCUCAUUUGAAGGUUGGAGGGCCGGGUCUCCUCAGAAUCAUUUGAGAUCGUCACACCAGUUUCUUCUAAAGCUGUAUUUGAAGCUAAAAGGAUGGUGCUUCUGUUCUUUGAUUGAUAUUUUAUCCCAGCAUCAUCGGAAACUAACUACUUGAUAUUUUGGUCUGCUAUCUUACCUGUACUUGUCCCUUCAGAUAUAUGGCACUCAUUUUAUUUUAAAAACAAAGUUGAUUUAUUGAGGAGCUGCAGACUAUCUCAGUUUGCAUAUGCUUUUAGUGUCGAAAAUAAUUUAGCCAUGUUUGAAACUGUAGUUAAUAGCUUCAUCUAAAUAUUGAUCUGUUGUGUUAUUGCAGGGAAUAGAUGUGAAAUGCUCAACUUAGGAGGGAGCAUAGACAAGGAAUCUGAAGUUGGAAAGAAACAACUGGAUAUCAAAGCAAAAGUAUCACGUCUCCUCUUAGAAAUCAGCUAACUAUUCUAAUUCUGGAGACUCUUAUGGCCCUAGAUCUGCCAGGCAGUUGCAAUUGUUGCUUUAGUCAAACUAAAAAAUUGUUAACUUUGCAGUGUAAGCGGACCCUUUAGCAGGAGAGCAACACAACUGCUAGCUUCCCUGAGAUGGAUACGAAGUCCGUGGAGGGUCAGAAUACAAAGCUCUACUAGGUGAUGGAGCUGGAGAAGUUGAGUACUUCCAGUCUCUUGACGAACGAAUCAUUAAAUGAAGGGAGUUUCUGAUCCUAUUAAAUGUCAUUGCGGACUGGAGUACAAUGUAGAACUAGGCAGGGAUGCCAUGGGUGCAAGAUGAACUCAUUAUAUAGAUGACCACAGGUCCAGUGUGUUUAAAGUAUGCAUAUGUGCGGCUGCCGUAUGUACAGCUUGACAACUCCAUAUAGAGAAACUGGAUAAAGUGCCAGUGCCGCAGGAGCAAAACAGCGCCCCAGAUGAAACCAACACGGAUGACGAUUAACUUCUCUGACCUUAAUCACAUUAAUGAGUGAACUUUCUUGUAAUCCUUUUUCCUGACACUAUAAGGCAAUGGCUUAGCCUGAUAUUUUGGUAGUUGUGUAAGUUGAAACAUGAUGCUAAGCCGAACAAUUUAUUGUCCUUUUUUCGCAUGAUAUCACAUUUUGGUAGUUGUGAAGCCUAAACCAUGAUGCUUUUGCUACUGCUGUAGUCCCUAAUGAAAUUGUGAGAUAAUGUAGUUAAGCUAAGUUUCUUUUGUUUCAAUAAAACAGAUGCUGGUAGUUGCAUAAGUUGAACCAUGAUGCUGGUUAAGCUAAUCUCAUUGAUUGCACUCCCAAAAAUCACAGGAGCCAUUCAGAAAAAGAUUAGUAGAGUUCUUUACUGUUGAAAUUUCUGAGGGGAUUUAUGGAAGAUCACAGGACGAUAUUUCGGGAGUCUAAUGAUCACGGUGCAUUUGAUAUUGAUGGCUUGGGAAAUCAUAUGGCGAUAGGGUCUGAUGAUGUCUGAUGAAGGAAUAGUCACAAGCAGAGAUGGCCUAAAGGCUCUUGGAUACAACUGUUCUUUUAGUAUGCCAUUGACGGACAUAAGUCGAUGUUUUCAGUCAGGAUGAGCUUUGAUUCUAAAUGAUAUUAGAUAUGCACUCAUGUACUUUCUACACGAUUUUUCUUUGGUUUAUUCAGUCUCUUGGGGUGCUCAUAGAAGUAGGGUUGCGUAUGUUCAUACGCUUGUUGUGAGGGUCUUCGUCUGUAUAAGUGUUUCUAAAUAGACUUAAGUUUAUUAAAUUCCAUAUAGGUAAUCCUUAUUAUUGAAUAAUAGUAUUAUUUGAAAGGGUUCAUUUUCUACUCUUU
Molecule: long non-coding RNA, 4890 nt
Organism: Triticum aestivum (bread wheat)
Lineage: Eukaryota; Viridiplantae; Streptophyta; Magnoliopsida; Poales; Poaceae
Exons: 9
Source: RefSeq, a predicted model, not a curated record